Molecule: ribosomal RNA, 621 nt
Filed under: Streptococcus anginosus
Lineage: Bacteria; Bacillati; Bacillota; Bacilli; Lactobacillales; Streptococcaceae
Description: bacterial SSU rRNA
Rfam family: Bacterial small subunit ribosomal RNA
Source: RNAcentral
CGGCAAUGGGGGGAACCCUGACCGAGCAACGCCGCGUGAGUGAAGAAGGUUUUCGGAUCGUAAAGCUCUGUUGUUAAGGAAGAACGAGUGUGAGAAUGGAAAGUUCAUACUGUGACGGUACUUAACCAGAAAGGGACGGCUAACUACGUGCCAGCAGCCGCGGUAAUACGUAGGUCCCGAGCGUUGUCCGGAUUUAUUGGGCGUAAAGCGAGCGCAGGCGGUUAGAAAAGUCUGAAGUGAAAGGCAGUGGCUCAACCAUUGUAGGCUUUGGAAACUGUUUAACUUGAGUGCAGAAGGGGAGAGUGGAAUUCCAUGUGUAGCGGUGAAAUGCGUGGAUAUAUGGAGGAACACCGGUGGCGAAAGCGGCUCUCUGGUCUGUAACUGACGCUGAGGCUCGAAAGCGUGGGGAGCGAACAGGAUUAGAUACCCUGGUAGUCCACGCCGUAAACGAUGAGUGCUAGGUGUUAGGUCCUUUCCGGGACUUAGUGCCGCAGCUAACGCAUUAAGCACUCCGCCUGGGGAGUACGACCGCAAGGUUGAAACUCAAAGGAAUUGACGGGGGCCCGCACAAGCGGUGGAGCAUGUGGUUUAAUUCGAAGCAACGCGAAGAACCUUACCAAG